AGGAUGAACGCUGGCGGCGUGCUUAACACAUGCAAGUCGAACGGAGAAAGGGUAGCUUGCUAUCUUUUCUUAGUGGCGGACGGGUGAGUAACGCGUGGGUAACCUGCCCUUUGCAGGGGGAUAACAGUGAGAAAUCACUGCUAAUACCGCAUACCAACUUCUUUCGCAUGAAGGAAGUUUGAAAGAUUUAUCGGCAAAGGAUGGACCCGCGUUGGAUUAGCUAGUUGGUGAGAUAACAGCCCACCAAGGCAACGAUCCAUAGCCGGCCUGAGAGGGUGAACGGCCACACUGGGACUGAGACACGGCCCAGACUCCUACGGGAGGCAGCAGUGGGGAAUAUUGCACAAUGGGCGAAAGCCUGAUGCAGCGACGCCGCGUGAAGGAUGAAGGUCUUCGGAUUGUAAACCUCUGUCAUGGGGGAAGAAGUAAGUGACGGUACCCCAAGAGGAAGCCCCUGCUAACUACGUG
This 468-nucleotide ribosomal RNA is filed under the name uncultured bacterium. RNAcentral describes it as "bacterial SSU rRNA". It matches the Rfam family "Bacterial small subunit ribosomal RNA", at positions 26 to 507 of the family's 1533-position model. The record is from RNAcentral.